GGUAUGUAAAGCUCUAUCAGCAGGGAAGAUUAUGACGGUACUUGACUAAGAAGCACCGGCUAAAUACGUGCCAGCAGCCGCGGUAAUACGUAUGGUGCAAGCGUUAUCCGGAUUUACUGGGUGUAAAGGGAGCGCAGGCGGUGCGGCAAGUCUGAUGUGAAAGCCCGGGGCUCAACCCCGGUACUGCAUUGGAAACUGUCGUACUAGAGUGUCGGAGGGGUAAGCGGAAUUCCUAGUGUAGCGGUGAAAUGCGUAGAUAUUAGGAGGAACACCAGUGGCGAAGGCGGCUUACUGGACGAUAACUGACGCUGAGGCUCGAAAGCGUGGGGAGCAAACAGGAUUAGAUACCCUGGUAGUCCACGCCGUAAA
Molecule: ribosomal RNA, 369 nt
Filed under: uncultured bacterium
Lineage: Bacteria
Description: bacterial SSU rRNA
Rfam family: Bacterial small subunit ribosomal RNA
Source: RNAcentral